UACGAACUGUGCAACCGUUAUUCGGAAUCACUGGGCUUAAAGGGUGCGUAGGCGGUCGUUUAAGUAGGGUGUGAAAGCCCUCGGCUCAACCGAGGAAUUGCGCCCUAAACUGGAUGGCUGGAGUGAGAUAGGGGUGUGUGGAACUUCCGGUGGAGCGGUGAAAUGUGUUGAUAUCGGAAGGAACGCCGGUGGCGAAAGCGACACGCUGGGCCGUACCUGACACUGAGGCGCGAUAGCAUGGGGAGCAAACAGG
RNAcentral lists this ribosomal RNA (253 nucleotides) under uncultured bacterium. RNAcentral describes it as "partial 16S ribosomal RNA". It matches the Rfam family "Bacterial small subunit ribosomal RNA", at positions 524 to 776 of the family's 1533-position model. The record is from RNAcentral.